Molecule: ribosomal RNA, 370 nt
Filed under: uncultured bacterium
Lineage: Bacteria
Description: partial 16S ribosomal RNA
Rfam family: Bacterial small subunit ribosomal RNA
Source: RNAcentral
CCUACGGGUGGCAGCAGUGGGGAAUAUUGCACAAUGGGGGAAACCCUGAUGCAGCGACGCCGCGUGAGUGAAGAAGUAAUUCGGUAUGUAAAGCUCUAUCAGCAGGGAAGAAAGUGACUGUACCUGAGUAAGAGGCCCCGGCUAACUACGUGCCAGCAGCCGCGGUAAUACGUAGGGGGCGAGCGUUCACCGGAAUUACUGGUGGUAAGGGGAGCGUAGACGGCAGGGCAAGUCUGGAGUGAAAGCCGGGGGCUCAACCCGCGGACUGCGCUGGAAACUGUACGGCUGGAGUGCUGGAGAGGGAAGUGGAAUUCCUAGUGUAGCGGUGAAAUGCGUAGAUAUGAGGAGGAAUACCAGUGGCGAAGGCGGC